AAGGACUUAGCUUAAGUUAAAGUGUUUGGUUUGCAUUCAAUUGAUGUGAGGUAAGUCUCACAGUCCUUA
Molecule: transfer RNA, 69 nt
Filed under: Tupaia belangeri chinensis (Chinese tree shrew)
Lineage: Eukaryota; Metazoa; Chordata; Mammalia; Scandentia; Tupaiidae
Description: Tupaia chinensis (Chinese tree shrew) tRNA
Rfam family: tRNA
About the family: Transfer RNA (tRNA) molecules are approximately 80 nucleotides in length. Their secondary structure includes four short double-helical elements and three loops (D, anti-codon, and T loops). Further hydrogen bonds mediate the characteristic L-shaped molecular structure. tRNAs have two regions of fundamental functional importance: the anti-codon, which is responsible for specific mRNA codon recognition, and the 3' end, to which the tRNAs corresponding amino acid is attached (by aminoacyl-tRNA synthetases). tRNAs cope with the degeneracy of the genetic code in two manners: having more than one tRNA (with a specific anti-codon) for a particular amino acid; and 'wobble' base-pairing, i.e. permitting non-standard base-pairing at the 3rd anti-codon position.
Source: Rfam by way of RNAcentral